Molecule: ribosomal RNA, 411 nt
Filed under: uncultured bacterium
Lineage: Bacteria
Description: bacterial SSU rRNA
Rfam family: Bacterial small subunit ribosomal RNA
Source: RNAcentral
GAUGAACGCUAGCGGCAGGCUUAACACAUGCAAGUCGAGGGGCAGCGUAAUGAAGUAGCAAUACUGAUUUGACGGCGACCGGCGCACGGGUGCGUAACGCGUAUGUAACCUACCUUUUAACAGGGGGGAUAACACUGAGAAAUUGGUACUAAUACCCCAUAAUACUUUAGAGGGCAUCCUCUGAGGUUGAAAGUUCCGGCGGUUAAAGAUGGACAUGCGUUGUAUUAGCUAGAUGGUGAGGUAACGGCUCACCAUGGCGACGAUACAUAGGGGGACUGAGAGGUUAACCCCCCACACUGGUACUGAGACACGGACCAGACUCCUACGGGAGGCAGCAGUGAGGAAUAUUGGUCAAUGGACACAAGUCUGAACCAGCCAUGCCGCGUGCAGGAUGACGGCUCUAUGAGUUGU